This 517-nucleotide ribosomal RNA is filed under the name Macrophthalmus abbreviatus. Its description in RNAcentral is "partial 16S ribosomal RNA". It matches the Rfam family "Archaeal large subunit ribosomal RNA", at positions 1908 to 2666 of the family's 2987-position model. Lineage: Eukaryota; Metazoa; Arthropoda; Malacostraca; Decapoda; Macrophthalmidae. The record is from RNAcentral.
GUCUUUUUGUAAAUAAAAAAAGUCCAACCUGCCCACUGAUAUUUUUUAAGGGCCGCGGUAUUUUGACCGUGCGAAGGUAGCGUAGUCAUUAGGUUUUUAAUUGGGAUCUUGUAUGAAUGGUUAGACAAGGGAGAAUCUGUCUCUUUAUUGAAAAUUUAAUUUAACUUUUAAGUGAAAAGGCUUAAAUUAUUUAAAGGGACGAUAAGACCCUAUAAAGCUUGAUAUAAAAGGUUAUUUAAUUAAAUCAGUUAGUAAAACUUUUAUGACCUGGGUUAUUUUAUUGGGGCGAUAAGGGUAAAAUGUUUUGUAACUGCUUUAAAAAUAAAACACGUUAGUUGAGAUAAUUUUUAAGAGAUCCCCAAGUGAGGAUUAUAAGUUUAAGUUACUUUAGGGAUAACAGCGUUAUUUUUUUUGAGAGUACGUAUCGAAAAAAGAGUUUGCGACCUCGAUGUUGAAUUAAAAUUUCUUUAUAGAAGCAGAAACUAUUAAAGUAGGUCUGUUCGACCUUUAAAAUUUU